CCUACGGGCGGCAGCAGUGAGGAAUAUUGGACAAUGGGCGCGAGCCUGAACCAGCCAAGUAGCGUGAAUGAUGACUGCCCUACGGGUUGUAAACUUCUUUUAUAAAGGAAUAAAGUGAGGCGCGUGUGCCUUUUUGUAUGUACUUUAUGAAUAAGGAUCGGCCAACUCCGUGCCAGCAGCCGCGGUAAUACGGAGGAUCCGAGCGUUAUCCGGAUUUAUUGGGUGUAAAGGGAGAGUAGAUGGGUUGUUAAGUCAGUUGUGAAAGUUUGCGGCUCAACCGGAAAAGUGCAAUUGAUACUGGCAGCCUUGAGUACAGUUGAGGUAGGCAGAAUUCGUGGUGUAGCGGUGAAAUGCUUAGAUAUCACGAAGAACUCCGAUUGCGAAGGCAGCCUACUAAACUGCCACUGACAUUGAGGCUCGAAAGUGUGGGUAUCAAACAGGAUUAGAUACCCUGGUAGUC
RNAcentral lists this ribosomal RNA (460 nucleotides) under uncultured bacterium. Its description in RNAcentral is "partial 16S ribosomal RNA". It matches the Rfam family "Bacterial small subunit ribosomal RNA", at positions 338 to 795 of the family's 1533-position model. The record is from RNAcentral.